RNAcentral lists this ribosomal RNA (253 nucleotides) under uncultured bacterium. Its description in RNAcentral is "partial 16S ribosomal RNA". It matches the Rfam family "Bacterial small subunit ribosomal RNA", at positions 524 to 776 of the family's 1533-position model. The record is from RNAcentral.
GACAGAGGGUGCAAACGUUGUUCGGAAUUACUGGGCGUAAAGCGCGUGUAGGCUGCUUCGAAAGUCGGAUGUGAAAGCCCUGGGCUCAACCUAGGAAGUGCAUUCGAAACUUCGAAGCUGGAGUCCUGGAGAGGAAGGCGGAAUUCUCGGUGUAGAGGUGAAAUUCGUAGAUAUCGAGAGGAACACCGGUGGCGAAGGCGGCCUUCUGGACAGUGACUGACGCUGAGACGCGAAAGCGUGGGGAGCGAACAGG